RNAcentral lists this long non-coding RNA (79 nucleotides) under Taeniopygia guttata (zebra finch). RNAcentral describes it as "lncRNA (ENSTGUG00000021861.1)". Lineage: Eukaryota; Metazoa; Chordata; Aves; Passeriformes; Estrildidae. The record is from RNAcentral.
CACACUCUUACUGAGACAAGGAGCACCAGGUCAUCUUCAUGAAAGUCAAUAAUCAGGUUGUACUGGACAUGGUGAGUGA